Long non-coding RNA from Anas platyrhynchos (mallard), 1830 nucleotides. RefSeq lists it as uncharacterized. The record is from RefSeq and is a predicted model, not a curated record. NCBI's taxonomy places the organism in Eukaryota, Metazoa, Chordata, Aves, Anseriformes, Anatidae.
GUGGGAGCAUGAGAAGGGGAGGACUAGGUCUGUGUGGGGAUUUGGUUCCAGGUGUUGCUGUACUAGGGACUGGAGUUUUGUCUUGGGAGUAGGUACCUGGUGAGGUUGGAGGCCAGGCAGCAGUAGGGAGCUCAAGCAGUGCUAAAUCAUCUGCCAAGUGUGACUAAGCCAGCACACAGCAUUUCAGUAGAACUGCUUGAGGCUACUACACAGGAAGAGCUGGGAGGAAUCUGGUCCAUUGUGCAGGAGCAGUAUCCUUCUCCCAUGACUCUGCAACUUUCUAGCAUCAUUCUUAAGAGGAAGGCAACCACAAUGAGAUGAGUUCUCCAGCUAGGGGUCCAGUACUACCAAUAAACAGGCCAAAGACAGCUACCUUUCUUGUCCUGCCCGGGACCUCCUAGGACACAUGCUAAAGUGAGAUCUGUCUUUGCAACAGCACUGUUUUAUGAAUUUAUAGUAUGCCUCUGAUCUUUUUAUGUCCUUAAUAUAUUUUCUGCCUGGCUGAUUUUUCCCCACUGGGAAUGAUGCUUUCAGAUGUGUAGUGCCUGUUAUCUUUCUUGAGUACAUUCUGCUAGUCUUUUUGAAUUCAUCUCGUUGAACAAUCUUGUUAAGACUGUCCAGCUAAAAUUGUUUGGUAGCUAUGCUUUGUAAAAGUAAGAGUUAUGAUUUAUUAAUCCUUUGGUGAUAGUAAGAAAAAUCUUUUCAUCUGAGAAGCUGAACAAACUCAGUCUGAGUUUUUGAAAAUCCAUCCCAGCUUCUUACUACAGCUCAACUCACAGAUUGUCAUUAUUUUGCUUCUUUCCUUAAUCUGAUAGAUCAAGAUUCUACAUAAGGACUCCAGGUUCUGCUGUGAUGGAAACACUGGGUGGUGGUGGUGGCGGCUGGGAGGAAACAUCGUACCAUAGUUUCACCAGUUCUAUGUUCUUAAGGUUCUUUCAGGUGUGCUCUCUCCAGUGUCACCUGCAAAAGUCAUUCUAAAAAGUGAUCAUUCUUCAUGAAUGCUCUGGGCAGGAUGUCUAUCUGCCCAUCAGAUCUUCCCACUAAGGUGGUUAUGUAGCUAAAAUACAUCAAUAGCAGCAUUUUCCUCCUCAUGUGUCAAGAUCUAGGUAGAUUUGAUAUAUAUACAUUUCUACACUGGUAUAAAAGGGCAUGUUCUUUCCAUGCCUACAUGGUAGACUAUCUUCAAGGCAGCACUGAGUACCAAAAGGCAUAUGGCUAUGCAAGUGCUCCACUCCUGUCAGGAUAAGGCACCUUGCUUGCAUAAAGUCAGAAGGAUAAAGACAAACAAGAGCCUUUCCUGUCCUCUUCUCAGCUAUUCACUCAUUUUUCCUCUGCUGGAGUUGCCUGUUGCUCUAGCAGAGGAGCAGUUUGCAAACUGAUGAGCUCACAACCUGCAUUACCUCUUUCUGAGAGUGAGAGCAUAAAUUUCUAGCAGAGCUGCUUCUUAAGCAGAGGCAGGGAAGCUAUUUUAAGUUGAUAUUAAAAAAAGAUAAAUGAGUGAUAAAUCAUAGAAAUGAUGAUCAGGAAACUGUUUAUUAGCACUAAUGUUUAUUAGCACUAAUGCCAAGUCAAAUCAGUUUUUAAAUAUAUAAUUAAGUUUAUGUUUCAAUAAUUUUCUGAAUAUGGACUAGGUUUUAGCUGAGAAUCCCUGGGAGAUUCCUAAGCUAAAAAUAUAUCUAAGAGGAACAGAGUUGUUGAGGAAAUGUCGUACUGCUGCAGUGAAUGUAGAACACUCAGAUCUGUAGAGUUUGUAGAGUGAACUCCAAAGCAGACUUUUCAGGAGAACUGUGCACAUGCAAUUACAUUCCAGCUUGUAUGGAAUAUGGCAAA